CACAGGUCUAUGCAAAACCGCAAGGUGAAGUAUAUGGGCUGACGCCUGCCCGGUGCUGGAAGGUUAAGGGGAGAGGUUAGCGCAAGCGAAGCUUUGAACUUAAGCCCCAGUAAACGGCGGCCGUAACUAUAACGGUCCUAAGGUAGCGAAAUUCCUUGUCGGGUAAGUUCCGACCCGCACGAAAGGCGUAAUGAUUUGGGCACUGUCUCAACGAUACACCCGGUGAAAUUGAAAUACCAGUGAAGAUGCUGGUUACCUGCGCCAGGACGGAAAGACCCCAUGGAGCUUUACUCCAGUUUGAUACUGGGAUUCGGCAUGGUAUGUACAGGAUAGGUGGGAGACUGAGAAGGUAUGACGUCAGUUGUACCGGAGUCGCUGUUGGGAUACCACCCUUACCAUGUUGGAUUUCUAACCUGUGGCCGUGAACCGGUCAGGGGACAAUGUCAGGCGGGGAGUUUGACUGGGGCGGUCGCCUCCGAAAGGGUAUCGGAGGCGCUCAAAGGUUCCCUCAGAAUGGUUGGAAACCAUUCGAAGAGUGCAAAGGCAGAAGGGAGCUUGACUGUGACACCGACGGGUGGAGCAGGUACGAAAGUAGGACUUAGUGAUCCGGUGGUAUAAAGUGGGAUUGCCAUCGCUCAACGGAUAAAAGCUACCCUGGGGAUAACAGGCUUAUCACUCCCAAGAGUUCACAUCGACGGAGUGGUUUGGCACCUCGAUGUCGGCUCAUCGCAUCCUGGAGCUGUAGCAGGUUCCAAGGGUUGGGCUGUUCGCCCAUUAAAGCGGUACGCGAGCUGGGUUCAGAACGUCGUGAGACAGUUCGGUCCCUAUCCGGCGCAGGCGGAGGAAAUUUGAUAGGAGCUGUCCUUAGUACGAGAGGACCGGGAUGGACGGACCGCUGGUGUAUCUGUUGUACUGCCAAGUGCAUCGCAGAGUAGCCAAGUCUGGAAGGGAUAAACGCUGAAGGCAUCUAAGCGUGAAGCCCCCCUAAAGAUAAGAUUUCCCAUACCGAAAGGUAGUAAGACCCCUUGAAGACGACGAGGUAGAUAGGGCAGAGGUGGAAGUGCGGUAACGCAUGGAGCUGACUGUUACUAAUCGGUCGAGGCUUUAACCAA
Molecule: ribosomal RNA, 1112 nt
Filed under: human gut metagenome
Description: bacterial LSU rRNA
Rfam family: Bacterial large subunit ribosomal RNA
Source: RNAcentral